CGGCGCUGGCGCCUCAUCCUCUGC
RNAcentral lists this non-coding RNA (24 nucleotides) under Arabidopsis thaliana (thale cress). Lineage: Eukaryota; Viridiplantae; Streptophyta; Magnoliopsida; Brassicales; Brassicaceae. The record is from RNAcentral.